Molecule: small nucleolar RNA, 90 nt
Filed under: Cicer arietinum (chickpea)
Lineage: Eukaryota; Viridiplantae; Streptophyta; Magnoliopsida; Fabales; Fabaceae
Description: Small nucleolar RNA snR60/Z15/Z230/Z193/J17
Rfam family: Small nucleolar RNA snR60/Z15/Z230/Z193/J17
About the family: The members of this family belong to the C/D class of snoRNAs which contain the C (UGAUGA) and D (CUGA) box motifs. Most of the members of the box C/D family function in directing site-specific 2'-O-methylation of substrate RNAs. The family includes the yeast snoRNA snR60 (also known as Z15) and the corresponding human guide snoRNA U80 (SNORD80).
Source: Rfam by way of RNAcentral
GGGGGUCAUGUGAUGAUCAAAAGCAUAGUUCAACUGAUCUAUUCAUGAUUAUACAAAUUUAUAGUCUUUCGCUCCUAUCUGAUGACUCCU